GACGAACGCUGGCGGCGUGCUUAACACAUGCCAGUCGAACGGUGAAGCGCCUUCCUUUUUGGUGGGUGUGGAUGAGUGGCGAACGGGUGAGUAACACGUGAGUAACCUGCCCCCUUCUUCUGGAUAACCGCAUGAAAGUGUGGCUAAUACGGGAUAUUCUGGGUCUGUCGCAUGAUGGGUCUGGGAAAGAUAUUGUUUCGGUGGGGGAUGGGCUCGCGGCCUAUCAGCUUGUUGGUGGGGUGAUGGCCUACCAAGGCGGUGACGGGUAGCCGGCCUGAGAGGGUGGACGGCCACACUGGGACUGAGACACGGCCCAGACUCCUACGGGAGGCAGCAGUGGGGAAUAUUGCACAAUGGGCGCAAGCCUGAUGCAGCGACGCCGCGUGAGGGAUGGAGGCCUUCGGGUUGUGAACCUCUUUCGCCAGUGAAGCAGGCCUGCCUCGUUUGUGGGUGGGUUGACGGUAGCUGGAUAAGAAGCGCCGGCUAACUACGUG
Molecule: ribosomal RNA, 494 nt
Filed under: uncultured bacterium
Lineage: Bacteria
Description: partial 16S ribosomal RNA
Rfam family: Bacterial small subunit ribosomal RNA
Source: RNAcentral